AACGAACGCUGGCGGCAUGCCUAACACAUGCAAGUCGAACGAGACCUUCGGGUCUAGUGGCGCACGGGUGCGUAACGCGUGGGAACCUGCCCUUAGGUUCGGAAUAACUCCCCGAAAGGGGUGCUAAUACCGGGUAAUGUCUUCGGACCAAAGAUUUAUCGCCUUUGGAUGGGCCCGCGUUGGAUUAGCUAGUUGGUAGGGUAAAAGCCUACCAAGGCGACGAUCCAUAGCUGGUCUGAGAGGAUGAUCAGACACACUGGGACUGAGACACGGCCCAGACUCCUACGGGAGGCAGCAGUGGGGAAUAUUGGACAAUGGGCGAAAGCCUGAUCCAGCAAUGCCGCGUGAGUGAUGAAGGCCUUAGGGUUGUAAAGCUCUUUUACCCGGGAUGAUAAUGACAGUACCGGGAGAAUAAGCUCCGGCUAACUCCGUG
RNAcentral lists this ribosomal RNA (433 nucleotides) under uncultured bacterium. Its description in RNAcentral is "partial 16S ribosomal RNA". It matches the Rfam family "Bacterial small subunit ribosomal RNA", at positions 29 to 507 of the family's 1533-position model. The record is from RNAcentral.